UGAGGAAUAUUGGUCAAUGGGCGUAAGCCUGAACCAGCCAAGUAGCGUGCAGGAAGACGGCCCUACGGGUUGUAAACUGCUUUUAUGCGGGGAUAAAGUGCAAUACGUGUAUUGCUUUGCAGGUACCGCAUGAAUAAGGACCGGCUAAUUCCGUGCCAGCAGCCGCGGUAAUACGGAAGUCCGGCGUAUCGAUUAUGGUUAAGGAGCGCAGGCCGCCCCUUAAGCGUGUUGUGAAAUGCCGCGGCUCAACCGUGGCACUGCAGCGCGAACUGGGGGGUCUUGAGUGCGCCGGAGGUAGGCGGAAUUCGUGGUGUAGCGGUGAAAUGCUUAGAUAUCACGAAGAACUCCGAUUGCGAAGGCAGCCUACCGUAGCGUUACUGACGCUGAGGCUCGAAGGUGCGGGUAUCGAACAGGAUUAGAUACCC
This 425-nucleotide ribosomal RNA is filed under the name uncultured bacterium. RNAcentral describes it as "bacterial SSU rRNA". It matches the Rfam family "Bacterial small subunit ribosomal RNA", at positions 355 to 787 of the family's 1533-position model. The record is from RNAcentral.